This 525-nucleotide ribosomal RNA is filed under the name Triticum aestivum (bread wheat). Its description in RNAcentral is "partial small subunit ribosomal RNA". Lineage: Eukaryota; Viridiplantae; Streptophyta; Magnoliopsida; Poales; Poaceae. The record is from RNAcentral.
AUGGAGGCCGCCAGCAACAGUUCUGGACUUGUGACGUCGCUUGGGAAUGCGAGCGUAGAGGAGAGGCGCAACCUCACAGACCGCUCGCCCGUUGAUCCAUCUAUCCUCCCAGAACAGGGCAUGCUGGCCAUUGCCGAUUGUCAUGGUAGUGGAGGCGAAGAAGAACGCGCGCUCCUCAGGCAAGAAUUGCAAGUCAAGGCCGUUCCAAGCCCUGCUAUCAUCGACGCGGCUGAGCCAUUGCUACCACGUGCGCAAGGUGAGGCCGGUGCGCUCGAGGUCAUGGACGCCGAGGCCGCCAAACGGGAUUGGCCGACAGAUGCGCCGCCAGUUGACGUGGGAAUUGCCACCAUUGGCCUCAACACGGCCAGCCCAAAGGAAUCCUCUUUUGAUCUUCUCCAAGAGCUUGAUGGUCUUCCUUGGCGGCGCGAGCACAAGGAGCUGGUGGAUGGGGAUCGCGCUCAGGACAGCCUUGACGAAGGCAAGGCGGCCGGCUUUGUUCAUGAGCCACGCCUUCCAGAAGGGUAA